AUUCCUCUGAGUUUCCUUCACAAGGAGUUCCAUCUGUCUUAACGAGAAUUCAGUUGGAAGGCCCUUGCCCAGCUUAAGGUCUACAAGAUGUUCAGCAGUAUUCUUACCAUGGAGAUGAAAGGAAUGCUCUUCUAUGCCCUGUUGUAUGGAUGUGUGAUUUCAUCAGCAUAGAGAAUCUCCUCUACUGAUGUUGAUUCCAACUCAA
This 205-nucleotide long non-coding RNA is filed under the name Vombatus ursinus (common wombat). RNAcentral's name for it is "lncRNA (ENSVURG00010004923.1)". The record is from RNAcentral. Lineage: Eukaryota; Metazoa; Chordata; Mammalia; Diprotodontia; Vombatidae.